RNAcentral lists this transfer RNA (72 nucleotides) under Streptomyces sp. PVA_94-07. Lineage: Bacteria; Bacillati; Actinomycetota; Actinomycetes; Kitasatosporales; Streptomycetaceae. The record is from RNAcentral.
GGCAUCUCCGACGCCGCGUCGGCGGUCGGCGACUUCAUGACCUGGAUCGCCAACGGCGGGAAUUCCUGACCG